GAGUCCCUGCAGGGUUCGUGAUGCUCGAUCAAGCACUUGAACCGUACUUUCUUAUCCGGGUAGCUCGCGUCUCGGGUCCCGUGCACGCCUUCCUUCCGCCGGAAGCGGAAGCUCAGAAGGUAGCCAACAUGGCACGAGUAGGGCGCCCACCUGUCCUGUACAGGUUCAGGUAAGAAUCACCACACGGCUCAGGCGGGGUACUC
Molecule: non-coding RNA, 203 nt
Filed under: Acidobacteriota bacterium
Lineage: Bacteria; Pseudomonadati; Acidobacteriota
Description: 6S RNA
Rfam family: 6S / SsrS RNA
About the family: E. coli 6S RNA was the first non coding RNA to be sequenced, but its function was unknown until recently. It consists of 184 nucleotides that fold into an extended hairpin structure with a large single-stranded internal bulge.
Source: RNAcentral